Molecule: ribosomal RNA, 368 nt
Filed under: uncultured archaeon
Lineage: Archaea
Description: bacterial SSU rRNA
Rfam family: Archaeal small subunit ribosomal RNA
Source: RNAcentral
AGCCGCCGCGGUAAUACCGGCGGCUCGAGUGGUGGCCACUAUUACUGGGCUUAAAGCGUCCGUAGCUGGAUUGUUAAGUCUCUUGGGAAAUCCACCGGCUCAACCGAUGGGCGUUCAGGAGAAACUGGCAAUCUAGGGACCGGGAGAGGUGGGAGGUACUCCAGGGGUAGGAGUGAAAUCCUGUAAUCCUUGGGGGACCACCUGUGGCGAAGGCGUCUCACUAGAACGGCUCCGACAGUGAGGGACGAAAGCUGGGGGAGCAAACCGGAUUAGAUACCCGGGUAGUCCCAGCUGUAAACGAUGCGCGUUAGGUGCAUCGGUGACCACGAGUCAUCGAGGUGCCGAAGGGAAACCGUGAAACGUGCCGC